AACGAACGCUGGCGGCAUGCCUAACACAUGCAAGUCGAACGAGACCUUCGGGUCUAGUGGCGCACGGGUGCGUAACGCGUGGGAACCUGCCCUUAGGUUCGGAAUAACUCCCCGAAAGGGGUGCUAAUACCGGAUAAUGUCUUCGGACCAAAGAUUUAUCGCCUUUGGAUGGGCCCGCGUUGGAUUAGCUAGUUGGUAGGGUAAAAGCCUACCAAGGCGACGAUCCAUAGCUGGUCUGAGAGGAUGAUCAGCCACACUGGGACUGAGACACGGCCCAGACUCCUACGGGAGGCAGCAGGGGGGAAUAAUGGACAAUGGGCGAAAGCCUGAUCCAGGAAUGCCGGGUGGGUGAUGGAGGCCUUAGGGUUGUAAAGCUCUUUUACCCGGGAUGAUAAUGACAGUACCGGGAGAAUAAGCUCCGGCUAACUCCGUG
Molecule: ribosomal RNA, 433 nt
Filed under: uncultured bacterium
Lineage: Bacteria
Description: partial 16S ribosomal RNA
Rfam family: Bacterial small subunit ribosomal RNA
Source: RNAcentral